GGAGAAUUGGCCGAGUGGUCGAAGGCGCACGCUUGGAAAGCGUGUAUACCGAAAGGUAUCGAGGGUUCGAAUCCCUUGUUCUCCG
RNAcentral lists this transfer RNA (85 nucleotides) under Bacteriovorax sp. Seq25_V. It matches the Rfam family "tRNA". Rfam says of the family: Transfer RNA (tRNA) molecules are approximately 80 nucleotides in length. Their secondary structure includes four short double-helical elements and three loops (D, anti-codon, and T loops). Lineage: Bacteria; Pseudomonadati; Bdellovibrionota; Bacteriovoracia; Bacteriovoracales; Bacteriovoracaceae. The record is from Rfam by way of RNAcentral.